This 468-nucleotide ribosomal RNA is filed under the name uncultured bacterium. RNAcentral describes it as "partial 16S ribosomal RNA". It matches the Rfam family "Bacterial small subunit ribosomal RNA", at positions 28 to 507 of the family's 1533-position model. The record is from RNAcentral.
GACGAACGCUGGCGGCGUGCUUAACACAUGCAAGUCGAACGGAAAGGCCCUGCUCUUGCGGGGUGCUCGUGUGGCGAACGGGUGAGUAACACGUGAGUAACCCGCACUUGACUUUGGGAUAACUUCUGGAAACUGGGGCUAUUACCGGAUAGGAGCUUCUGAUGCACGGUGGGGGUUGGAAAGUUUCGGCGGUUCGGGCUGGAAUCGCGGCUUAUCAGCUUGAUUGUGGGGUAGUGGCUUACCAAGGCUUUGACGGGUAGCCGGCCUGAGGGGGUGACCGGCCACAUUGGGACUGAGGGGCGGCACAGACACCUACGGGAGGGAGCAGUGGGGAAUAUUGCACAAUGGGCGGAAGCCGGAUGCAGCAGCGCCGCGUGCGGGAUGACGGCCUUCGGGUUGUAAACCGCUUUCGCCUGUGACGAAGCGUGAGUGACGGGAAUGGGUAAAGAAGCACCGGCUAACUACGUG